Molecule: RNase P RNA, 353 nt
Filed under: Candidatus Chromulinivorax destructor
Lineage: Bacteria; Candidatus Babeliae; Candidatus Babeliales; Candidatus Chromulinivoracaceae
Description: Candidatus Dependentiae bacterium (ex Spumella elongata CCAP 955/1) RNase P RNA component class A
Rfam family: Bacterial RNase P class A
About the family: Ribonuclease P (RNase P) is a ubiquitous endoribonuclease, found in archaea, bacteria and eukarya as well as chloroplasts and mitochondria.
Source: RNAcentral
AGGGUUAUCUAGGCAAUCGCUGGUUAUGUAAAUAACGAGAGGAAAGUCCGGACUCCUAGCGAAAAGAUGCCUUGCGAGAACUUUUAAAUUCAAGCAAGGGGGAUCGUAUCCACGGACAGUGCCACAGAAAAUAACCGCCUUAUAUGUAAUAAUACAAGGUAAGGGUGAAAAAGUGCGGUAAGAGCGCACGGACAGUAUGAGUGAUCAUGCUGUGGGGUAAACCCCAUCUGGAGCAAGACAAAGCAUUAAACGGGCCCUUCGCUGCCAAUGGUUUAAGGGUAUGUCGCAUAGAUAAAUGGUUGCCACUUAACGUAUAGUUAAGCACAGAAUCCGGCUUAUUGAUGGUCCUACUC